RNAcentral lists this ribosomal RNA (469 nucleotides) under uncultured bacterium. RNAcentral describes it as "bacterial SSU rRNA". It matches the Rfam family "Bacterial small subunit ribosomal RNA", at positions 329 to 794 of the family's 1533-position model. The record is from RNAcentral.
GACCAGACUCCUACGGGAGGCAGCAGUGAGGAAUAUUGGUCAAUGGGCGGAAGCCUGAACCAGCCAAGUCGCGUGAGGGACUAAGGCCCUGCGGGUCGUAAACCUCUUUUGCCGGGGAGCAGUGGUCCGGACGCGUCCGGACCGGGAGAGUACCCGGAGAAAAAGCAUCGGCUAACUCCGUGCCAGCAGCCGCGGUAAUACGGAGGAUGCGAGCGUUAUCCGGAUUUAUUGGGUUUAAAGGGUGCGUAGGCGGUCGGAUAAGUUAGAGGUGAAAUCCCGAGGCUCAACUUCGGAAUUGCCUCUGAUACUGUUCGGCUAGAGAGUAGUUGCGGUAGGCGGAAUGUAUGGUGUAGCGGUGAAAUGCUUAGAGAUCAUACAGAACACCGAUUGCGAAGGCAGCUUACCAAGCUACUUCUGACGUUGAGGCACGAAAGCGUGGGGAGCAAACAGGAUUAGAUACCCGGGUAGA